RNAcentral lists this ribosomal RNA (506 nucleotides) under uncultured bacterium. RNAcentral describes it as "partial 16S ribosomal RNA". It matches the Rfam family "Bacterial small subunit ribosomal RNA", at positions 28 to 507 of the family's 1533-position model. The record is from RNAcentral.
GAUGAACGCUGGCGGCGUGCCUAACACAUGCAAGUCGAACGGAGAUUACGGACGGAAGUUUUCGGAUGGAAGCCUGUAAUUCUUAGUGGCGGACGGGUGAGUAACGCGUGGGCAACCUGCCCUAUACAGGGGGAUAGCAGCUGGAAACGGCUGGUAAGACCGCAUAAGUCGGUUAAAUCGCAUGAUUUGAUCGGGAAAUGAGCAAUCAGGUAUAGGAUGGGCCUGCGUCGGAUUAGCCAGUUGGGAGGGUAAAGGCCUACCAAAGCGACGAGCAGUAGCCGGGCCGAGAGGAUGGUCAGUCACAAUGGAACUGAGAAAGGGACGAGACUGCGAGGGGAGGCAGAAGUGGGGAAUAUUGGACAAUGGGGGAAAGAGUGAUCCAGCCAUGCCGCGUGUGUGAAGAAGGUCUUCGGAUUGGAAAGCAAUUUAAGUUGGGAGGAAGGGCAGUAAGUUAAUACCUUGCUGUUUUGACGUUACCAACAGAAUAAGCACCUGCUAACUUCGUG